UUCCCGGAGGACUAGUGGUUAGGCCUCGGCGCUCUCACCGGCGUGGCCUGGGUUUGAUUCCCAGCCAGGGAA
Molecule: transfer RNA, 72 nt
Filed under: Pangasianodon hypophthalmus (striped catfish)
Lineage: Eukaryota; Metazoa; Chordata; Actinopteri; Siluriformes; Pangasiidae
Rfam family: tRNA
About the family: Transfer RNA (tRNA) molecules are approximately 80 nucleotides in length. Their secondary structure includes four short double-helical elements and three loops (D, anti-codon, and T loops).
Source: Rfam by way of RNAcentral